Molecule: ribosomal RNA, 433 nt
Filed under: uncultured bacterium
Lineage: Bacteria
Description: partial 16S ribosomal RNA
Rfam family: Bacterial small subunit ribosomal RNA
Source: RNAcentral
AACGAACGCUGGCGGCAUGCCUAACACAUGCAAGUCGAACGAGACCUUCGGGUCUAGGGGCGCACGGGUGCGUAACGCGUGGGAACCUGCCCUUAGGUUCGGAAUAACUCCCCGAAAGGGGUGCUAAUACCGGAUAAUGUCUUCGGACCAAAGAUUUAUCGCCUUUGGAUGGGCCCGCGUUGGAUUAGCUAGUUGGUAGGGUAAAAGCCUACCAAGGCGACGAUCCAUAGCUGGUCUGAGAGGAUGAUCAGCCACACUGGGACUGAGACACGGCCCAGACUCCUACGGGAGGCAGCAGUGGGGAAUAUUGGACAAUGGGCGAAAGCCUGAUCCAGCAAUGCCGCGUGAGUGAUGAAGGCCUUAGGGUUGUAAAGCUCUUUUACCCGGGAUGAUAAUGACAGUACCGGGAGAAUAAGCUCCGGCUAACUACGUG